AACGCACAUUGCGCUCCCUGGCAUUCCGGGGAGCAUGCCUGUCCGAGCGUCAUUUGCAACCCUCAAGCCCGGCUUGUGUGAUGGACCAGCGUCCCCACGUCACCUCCCUCUCCGGGGGGUGCAGAUCAGGGACGGGUCCGAAAUGCAGUGGGUGGCGGCGCGGUAGGACCGGCCCGCAGCGUAUGGGGCAUCGUCACACGCUCGCGGCGUCGUACCGACGUCACCCUGACCGUUCACCAUCUGAAAUGACAGGUUGACCUCGGAUCAGGUAGGGAUACCCGCUGAACUUAA
This 291-nucleotide unclassified non-coding RNA is filed under the name uncultured Eurotiomycetes. Its description in RNAcentral is "sequence contains 5.8S rRNA gene, ITS2, 28S rRNA gene". Lineage: Eukaryota; Fungi; Ascomycota; Eurotiomycetes. The record is from RNAcentral.